AUUGAACGCUGGCGGCAGGCUCAACACAUGCAAGUCGAGCGGGGUGAUGGUGCUUGCACUAUCACUUAGCGGCGGACGGGUGAGUAAUGCUUAGGAAUCUGCCUAUUAGUGGGGGACAACAUCUCGAAAGGGAUGCUAAUACCGCAUACGUCCUACGGGAGAAAGCAGGGGAUCACUUGUGACCUUGCGCUAAUAGAUGAGCCUAAGUCGGAUUAGCUAGUUGGUGGGGUAAAGGCCUACCAAGGCGACGAUCUGUAGCGGGUCUGAGAGGAUGAUCCGCCACACUGGGACUGAGACACGGCCCAGACUCCGACGGGAGGCAGCAGUGGGGAAUAUUGGACAAUGGGGGGAACCCUGAUCCAGCCAUGCCGCGUGUGUGAAGAAGGCCUUAUGGUUGUAAAGCACUUUAAGCGAGGAGGAGGCUCUUUUGGUUAAUACCCAAGAUGAGUGGACGUUACUCGCAGAAUAAGCACCGGCUAACUCUGUGCCAGCAGCCGCGGUAA
This 503-nucleotide ribosomal RNA is filed under the name uncultured bacterium. RNAcentral's name for it is "partial 16S ribosomal RNA". It matches the Rfam family "Bacterial small subunit ribosomal RNA", at positions 30 to 523 of the family's 1533-position model. The record is from RNAcentral.